Molecule: unclassified non-coding RNA, 529 nt
Filed under: Hevea brasiliensis (rubber tree)
Lineage: Eukaryota; Viridiplantae; Streptophyta; Magnoliopsida; Malpighiales; Euphorbiaceae
Source: RNAcentral
GAUAAUUACCAACAUUGGGUAACCUGCAAAUUCAUAUUUUACACUAGAUACUUUCUUGCAUUGAACUUACAAGGACUUGUCAGGCAUUCUGCACUAUAGUUAACAGCUCUAAUGAUCUGUCAGAAAGGUAGAAAGGUGAUUCUUGCGUUACAAUGCCUGGUUGAUGAAAUUAUUCCCAAAGAUACAUGAUAUGGUAAUUUGUCUCAAAAUUUAUAUAAUUUGUAGUUUCUACAGAAUUCAUAAUCUUCUCAGAAAUUCACCAAAGAAUGAUAAACCAUUUCAUAACCACCAAGCACUUAAUCAAUGACAGGUAGCCGAGCAAAUCAAGCAAAUAAGGUCCACACAAACCAGGAUCACUGCAUGUCAUGAUAAUAUUCUUCUCGACAAAAAUGACGCCAAGAAGUAUACCCUCACAUGUGCAAAAUCCAGGAAGAAUGGAAGAUUUGCAUAGAACAAACUUGCAAUAGAGAAGUACAGUUCCACUUUUCCAAGGGGCACGCCCCUACAGGCUACAGCAAGAGCCAAAAGA